Molecule: long non-coding RNA, 916 nt
Filed under: Homo sapiens (human)
Lineage: Eukaryota; Metazoa; Chordata; Mammalia; Primates; Hominidae
Description: HSALNT0144759
Source: RNAcentral
GACUCAAUAAAUACCAAAUCUUAGAAGAAUGUAACUCCUGUUCUGUGUUAAGGAUUGCUCCAGGACCUCCACUUCCAUCCUCUCUAAUCCUCACGAAACUCCUACCAAGAAAGGAUUACUAUACCAUGGUUACAGGGGAGGAAGCUGAAGCUAAGAGAGUUUAAUGAACUUGAAUGAAGGUCAAGCAGGUAAAAGAAAACCAGAAUUGGAAUUUCUGCCUCAGUUUCCUGUUCAAUACUUGAGCUCCUGUCUGCGACUGGAGGCUAUAUGACUGUCUGACUCUGUCCUAAACCAAAUAUUUGGAAGCUCCUCUGCCCUGUGGACUCCAGGCAUUUCUCCAGUCCAUGACUCCUUGCUGUCGGUCACUCCUACCCACCUGGAGAGGAUUUCUUAUCUUAUUAAAGUAAGAGCUGCAGUAUGUUCUAGAUGUUUUAAUUGAAUGCAAUCCUUGUAAAAAUAAUGACUAUUUCCCAGUACUAGCUUUAUUUUCCAGAUGAGGAAACGGAAGUUCAGAAUGUGCAAGCCACUUGCCCCAAGUCAUCCAGCAGAGGUAGAUGUGUGAGUGCCUGCUGUAUCAGCCUGCGGGGAAGGCUGUAGUUCAGCACUGGGAGCGGCAGCAGGGUGGUCUCAAGGCCAUCACACAGGGCUGCCCAUGCCUAGAGGGGCUCUUAGUUGGUUGAAUACUCUGCCAUCAUUGGCAAUGCUUACGAGUGUUGUCAUUAAACUUGCAUCUUGCAAGUAAAGUCUGCUAAGUCAAUGGAGCAUGCAAGUGAACACAGAUCUGCCCACAUUUCAGCCUCUCCCCUUACUUUUCUGUUUUUGUUGUUGUUGUUGUUUUUUGUGAGACGGAGUCUGGCUCUGCUGUCAGGCUGGAGUGCAGUGGUGUGAUCUCAGCUCACUGCAGCCUCCACCUCCU